UACGUAGGGUGCGAGCGUUAAUCGGAAUUACUGGGCGUAAAGCGUGCGCAGGCGUUUCGUUGUGUCGGUGGUGAAAGCCCCGGGCUUAACCUGGGAAUGGCCAUGGAAACUGGCGAACUGGAGUGUGGCAGAGGGGGGUGGAAUUCCGCGUGUAGCAGUGAAAUGCGUAGAGAUGCGGAGGAACACCGAUGGCGAAGGCAGCCCCCUGGGCUAGCACUGACGCUCAGGCACGAAAGCGUGGGGAGCAAACAGG
RNAcentral lists this ribosomal RNA (253 nucleotides) under uncultured bacterium. RNAcentral's name for it is "partial 16S ribosomal RNA". It matches the Rfam family "Bacterial small subunit ribosomal RNA", at positions 524 to 776 of the family's 1533-position model. The record is from RNAcentral.